Molecule: ribosomal RNA, 403 nt
Filed under: uncultured bacterium
Lineage: Bacteria
Description: partial 16S ribosomal RNA
Rfam family: Bacterial small subunit ribosomal RNA
Source: RNAcentral
GACGAACGCUGGCGGCGUGCCUAAUACAUGCAAGUCGAACGCAGUGGGGACGGGUGAGUAACACGUGGGUAACCUCCCAUCAGAGGGGAUAACACUUGGAAACAGGUGCUAAACCGAUACUGAUGGAUGGACCCGCGGUGCAUUAGCUAGUUGGUGAGGUAACGGCUCACCUAGGCCACGAUGCAUAGCUGACCUGGGAGGGUGAUCGGCGACACUGGGACCGAGACAUGGCCCAGACUCCUAUGGGAGGCAGCAUUAGGGAACUGUCGGCAACGGACGAAAGUUUGACCGAGCCACGCCGCGUGAGUGAAGAAGGCUUUCGGAUCGGAAAACUCUGUUGUUAGAGAAGCGGUACCUACCCAGAAAGCCCCGGCUAACUACGUGCCAGCCGCCGCGGUAAUUC